Molecule: unclassified non-coding RNA, 259 nt
Filed under: Hevea brasiliensis (rubber tree)
Lineage: Eukaryota; Viridiplantae; Streptophyta; Magnoliopsida; Malpighiales; Euphorbiaceae
Source: RNAcentral
AGAGGAGACGCUCCUUUGAUUCCUUUGAUGCUUACCAAGACAAUCUUGGACUUCUUAGUCUGCAAGUUGUUGAUUCCUUGUGCCUUUAGAGCUAAGAGCUAAUAGGUGCCAGGCUUAGACAAUUGCUCCACGUUUCAGGAAUAAAGCAAAUUUCUUGCACAAUUAGAUGAGUUAUUAACUGAAAUUAUGCCAACUAAUUAUAUUUUCUAUCCAGUUUGUUAAAUAAUGCGCAUUUAACUACUCUGCAGGAUUAGAAGCU